CCCUUAGAUGUUCUGGGCCGCACGCGCGCUACACUGAUGCAUUCAACGAGCCUAUCCUUGACCGACAGGUCCGGGUAAUCUUUGAAUCUGCAUCGUGAUAGGGAUAGACUAUUGCAAUUAUUGGUCUUCAACGAGGAAUUCCUAGUAGACGUAGUUCAUCAGACUGCAUCGAUUACGUCCCUGCCCUUUGUACACACCGCCCGUCGCUCCUACCGAUUGAAUGCUCAGGUGAGCCAUUCGGACUUUCAUCAUGCUGGUUUCCAGUUUUGAUGAAGGAAAGUCUUGCGAACCUUAUCAUUUAGAGGAAGGAGAAGUCGUAACA
RNAcentral lists this ribosomal RNA (322 nucleotides) under uncultured eukaryote. RNAcentral describes it as "partial 18S ribosomal RNA". It matches the Rfam family "Eukaryotic small subunit ribosomal RNA", at positions 1470 to 1796 of the family's 1831-position model. The record is from RNAcentral.